This 438-nucleotide ribosomal RNA is filed under the name uncultured bacterium. Its description in RNAcentral is "partial 16S ribosomal RNA". It matches the Rfam family "Bacterial small subunit ribosomal RNA", at positions 339 to 795 of the family's 1533-position model. The record is from RNAcentral.
CUACGGGGCGCUGCAGUGAGGAAUAUUGCACAAUGGGGGGAACCCUGAUGCAGCAACGCCGCGUGGAGGAUGACGCAUUUCGGUGUGUAAACUCCUUUUAUAUGUCAAGAAAAUGACGGUAGCAUAUGAAUAAGCACCGGCUAACUCCGUGCCAGCAGCCGCGGUAAUACGGAGGGGGCAAGCGUUACUCGGAAUCACUGGGCGUAAAGGACGCGUAGGCGGGUUGGAAAGUCAGGUGUGAAAUCCUACAGCUUAACUGUAGAACUGCACUUGAAACUUGUAAUCUAGAGUAUGGGAGGGGAGAUGGAAUUAGUGGUGUAGGGGUAAAAUCCGUAGAUAUCACUAGGAAUACCUAAAGCGAAGGCGAUCUCCUGGAACAUUACUGACGCUAAGGCGUGAAAGCGUGGGGAGCAAACAGGAUUAGAUACCCGGGUAGUC